RNAcentral lists this ribosomal RNA (499 nucleotides) under Saccharomyces cerevisiae (brewer's yeast). Its description in RNAcentral is "partial large subunit ribosomal RNA". It matches the Rfam family "Eukaryotic large subunit ribosomal RNA", at positions 70 to 570 of the family's 3401-position model. Lineage: Eukaryota; Fungi; Ascomycota; Saccharomycetes; Saccharomycetales; Saccharomycetaceae. The record is from RNAcentral.
AUUGAGUGCAUGCUUAGUACGGCGAGUGAAGCGGCAAAAGCUCAAAUUUGAAAUCUGGUACCUUCGGUGCCCGAGUUGUAAUUUGGAGAGGGCAACUUUGGGGCCGUUCCUUGUCUAUGUUCCUUGGAACAGGACGUCAUAGAGGGUGAGAAUCCCGUGUGGCGAGGAGUGCGGUUCUUUGUAAAGUGCCUUCGAAGAGUCGAGUUGUUUGGGAAUGCAGCUCUAAGUGGGUGGUAAAUUCCAUCUAAAGCUAAAUAUUGGCGAGAGACCGAUAGCGAACAAGUACAGUGAUGGAAAGAUGAAAAGAACUUUGAAAAGAGAGUGAAAAAGUACGUGAAAUUGUUGAAAGGGAAGGGCAUUUGAUCAGACAUGGUGUUUUGUGCCCUCUGCUCCUUGUGGGUAGGGGAAUCUCGCAUUUCACUGGGCCAGCAUCAGUUUUGGUGGCAGGAUAAAUCCAUAGGAAUGUAGCUUGCCUCGGUAAGUAUUAUAGCCUGUGGGA